CCCAAAGGGGGUUGCCUUUAGUACGGCGAGUGAGCGGCAAAAGCUCAAAUUUGAAAUCUGGUACCUUCGGUGCCCGAGUUGUAAUUUGUAGAAGGUAACUUUGGGGCUGGUCCUUGUCUAUGUUCCUUGGAACAGGACGUCAUAGAGGGUGAGAAUCCCGUGUGGCGAGGAUCCCAGUUCUUUGUAAAGUGCUUUCGAAGAGUCGAGUUGUUUGGGAAUGCAGCUCUAAGUGGGUGGUAAAUUCCAUCUAAAGCUAAAUAUUGGCGAGAGACCGAUAGCGAACAAGUACAGUGAUGGAAAGAUGAAAAGAACUUUGAAAAGAGAGUGAAAAAGUACGUGAAAUUGUUGAAAGGGAAGGGCAUUUGAUCAGACAUGGUGUUUUGCGCCCUCUGCUCCUUGUGGGUGGGGGAAUCUCGCAGCUCACUGGGCCAGCAUCAGUUUUGGCGGCAGGAUAAAUCUGCAGGAAUGUAGCUUGCCUCGGUAAGUGUUAUAUCCUGUAGAAAUACUGCCAGCUGGGACUGAGGACUGCGACUUUACGUCAAGGAUGCUGGCAUAAUGGUUAUAUGCCGCCCGUCUUGAACCACGGACCCACGAC
This 595-nucleotide ribosomal RNA is filed under the name Torulaspora delbrueckii. RNAcentral's name for it is "eukaryotic LSU rRNA". It matches the Rfam family "Eukaryotic large subunit ribosomal RNA", at positions 64 to 673 of the family's 3401-position model. The record is from RNAcentral. Lineage: Eukaryota; Fungi; Ascomycota; Saccharomycetes; Saccharomycetales; Saccharomycetaceae.